RNAcentral lists this ribosomal RNA (97 nucleotides) under uncultured bacterium. RNAcentral describes it as "partial 16S ribosomal RNA". It matches the Rfam family "Bacterial small subunit ribosomal RNA", at positions 1386 to 1482 of the family's 1533-position model. The record is from RNAcentral.
CACACCGCCCGUCAUACCAUGGGAGUUUGUUGCACCAGAAGCAGGUAGCUUAACCCUCGGGAGGGCGCUUGCCACGGUGUGGCCGAUGACUGGGGUG